UCCAAUAAAUCAAUUGAACUUGAUCCAAUCAAGCCCAAAUCAAAUCUAAUUAAAUUAUAUUUAAUUAGACUUAAUCUCAAUCCAUUGGCUUAAUCAAAUUAAGUCAAUUAGCAAUUGAAUUGCUAAUCGAUUCUCCUGCAACAUUUGUACUAGGUUAAAUGUCAAUCAUAUUGAUCGUUUAAUCCUAGAAUGAUUCUUAAUCGUUGAUCAAUCAUCCGAUCAGAUCAUGAACUCUAAUGUAUGUGAUUUCAUAGGUCCAAACCUAAGUCGAUAGCAUAAGAAUAAAUUUUUAUACCAAUCGAAGUGAUCAUCUAGCAAUGGUACCCGACAGUCGGAUAGGUCGAAUGUGUAGAACA
RNAcentral lists this long non-coding RNA (356 nucleotides) under Elaeis guineensis (African oil palm). RNAcentral describes it as "long non-coding RNA (EGUI_LNC079053)". Lineage: Eukaryota; Viridiplantae; Streptophyta; Magnoliopsida; Arecales; Arecaceae. The record is from RNAcentral.